UGAACGCUAGCUACAGGCUUAACACAUGCAAGUCGAGGGGCAGCAUGGUCUUAGCUUGCUAAGGCCGAUGGCGACCGGCGCACGGGUGAGUAACACGUAUCCAACCUGCCGUCUACUCUUGGACAGCCUUCUGAAAGGAAGAUUAAUACAAGAUGGCAUCAUGAGUCCGCAUGUUCACAUGAUUAAAGGUAUUCCGGUAGACGAUGGGGAUGCGUUCCAUUAGAUAGUAGGCGGGGUAACGGCCCACCUAGUCUUCGAUGGAUAGGGGUUCUGAGAGGAAGGUCCCCCACAUUGGAACUGAGACACGGUCCAAACUCCUACGGGAGGCAGCAGUGAGGAAUAUUGGUCAAUGGGCGAGAGCCUGAACCAGCCAAGUAGCGUGAAGGAUGACUGCCCUAUGGGUUGUAAACUUCUUUUAUAAAGGAAUAAAGUCGGGUAUGGAUACCCGUUUGCAUGUACUUUAUGAAUAAGGAUCGGCUAACUCCGUGCCAGCAGCCGCGGUAAUACGGAGGAUCCGAGCGUUAUCCGGAUUUAUUGGGUUUAAAGGGAGCGUAGAUGGAUGUUUAAGUCAGUUGUGAAAGUUUGCGGCUCAACCGUAAAAUUGCAGUUGAUACUGGAUAUCUUGAGUGCAGUUGAGGCAGGCGGAAUUCGUGGUGUAGCGGUGAAAUGCUUAGAUAUCACGAAGAACUCCGAUUGCGAAGGCAGCCUGCUAAGCUGCAACUGACAUUGAGGCUCGAAAGUGUGGGUAUCAAACAGGAUUAGAUACCCUGGUAGUCCACACGGUAAACGAUGAAUACUCGCUGUUUGCGAUAUACAGCAAGCGGCCAAGCGAAAGCGUUAAGUAUUCCACCUGGGGAGUACGCCGGCAACGGUGAAACUCAAAGGAAUUGACGGGGGCCCGCACAAGCGGAGGAACAUGUGGUUUAAUUCGAUGAUACGCGAGGAACCUUACCCGGGCUUAAAUUGCAGAUGAAUUACGGUGAAAGCCGUAAGCCGCAAGGCAUCUGUGAAGGUGCUGCAUGGUUGUCGUCAGCUCGUGCCGUGAGGUGUCGGCUUAAGUGCCAUAACGAGCGCAACCCUUGUUGUCAGUUACUAACAGGUUCCGCUGAGGACUCUGACAAGACUGCCAUCGUAAGAUGUGAGGAAGGUGGGGAUGACGUCAAAUCAGCACGGCCCUUACGUCCGGGGCUACACACGUGUUACAAUGGGGGGUACAGAGGGCCGCUACCACGCGAGUGGAUGCCAAUCCCCAAAACCUCUCUCAGUUCGGACUGGAGUCUGCAACCCGACUCCACGAAGCUGGAUUCGCUAGUAAUCGCGCAUCAGCCACGGCGCGGUGAAUACGUUCCCGGGCCUUGUACACACCGCCCGUCAAGCCAUGGGAGCCGGGGGUACCUGAAGUGCGUAACCGCGAGGAGCGCCCUAGGGUAAAACUGGUGACUGGG
Molecule: ribosomal RNA, 1445 nt
Filed under: uncultured organism
Description: SSU rRNA
Rfam family: Bacterial small subunit ribosomal RNA
Source: RNAcentral